ACACCUGGCCCCAUUCCGAACCCAGCCGUUAAGUGCCGUAGCGCUGAUGGUACUGCGUCUUAAGACGUGGGAGAGUAAGUCACCGCCAAAC
Pseudooctadecabacter jejudonensis is the source of this 91-nucleotide ribosomal RNA. NCBI's taxonomy places the organism in Bacteria, Pseudomonadati, Pseudomonadota, Alphaproteobacteria, Rhodobacterales, Paracoccaceae. The record is from Rfam.